GUCUUGAUGGCUCAGUUGGUUAGAGCGCUGGUCUCAUAUUCACUAUGAUCCGGCUAAACGCUGGGGCUAUCCAGAGGUCGGGAGUUCGAGCCUCCCUCAGGACA
This is a non-coding RNA of Xylariomycetidae sp. FL2044, 104 nucleotides long. NCBI's taxonomy places the organism in Eukaryota, Fungi, Ascomycota, Sordariomycetes. The record is from the annotation of a GenBank genome assembly.